UCAAGUGUUUUCCUUGAGAUGACCCACGGAACUCAACCCUUUCUCCAUGUUUAUUCCUUUACUAGAUCACUUGCUGUUAGGCAUAAAGUAAUCCUAAACUGAUAUGAGAUUUAAAACAAAAAACUUAAAAAGUGUAAGAUUCAAAUCAAUUUUAAAAAGUCAGGGUACACAUAAGAGAAAUGAAUCCUCUGUGUGAUACUUCUGCAAUUUUCCAGACGCUGGAUGUUUUCUUCUGACUGUUGCGGGAAACUAACAAAAAGGAGAAUAUGAGAGGCUGUGGUCUUCACAUAUGUAGUUUUCUGACUGACUUCAAACCUGGACUUGUGCUGUGUACUCCUUCUCAGAUACGUAUUCCUUAGCUUGUGGAAAUGGAAAAUCAACUAAUGAGAGAUGGAUUCUCACUCUGUCACCCAGGCUGGAGUGUAAUGG
Cercocebus atys (sooty mangabey) is the source of this 429-nucleotide long non-coding RNA. RefSeq lists it as uncharacterized. The record is from RefSeq and is a predicted model, not a curated record. Lineage: Eukaryota; Metazoa; Chordata; Mammalia; Primates; Cercopithecidae. The transcript is spliced from 3 exons.